RNAcentral lists this transfer RNA (77 nucleotides) under Nitrospinota bacterium. Its description in RNAcentral is "tRNA-Arg". It matches the Rfam family "tRNA". Rfam says of the family: Transfer RNA (tRNA) molecules are approximately 80 nucleotides in length. Lineage: Bacteria; Pseudomonadati; Nitrospinota. The record is from RNAcentral.
GCGCCCAUAGCUCAGCUGGAUAGAGUGACGGUUUGCGGUACCGUAGGUCGGAGGUUCGAGUCCUCCUGGGCGCGCCA